RNAcentral lists this long non-coding RNA (1861 nucleotides) under Mus musculus (house mouse). Its description in RNAcentral is "long non-coding RNA chr5:129964365-129966226". Lineage: Eukaryota; Metazoa; Chordata; Mammalia; Rodentia; Muridae. The record is from RNAcentral.
UUAUUGCUUCAUAUUUGAUGAUUUCUGAAUGUCUGACCUGGAAAAAAGUGGCUUUUAAUACUACUUUAAGACCACUCUUCUAACUCCCUCUGCAGUAUUCACUGCAAUUCCUGUGAAUUGUUUAUGGUAGGUAAGUCUGGCUUUGGUUAGUGUUUUUGUUUUGUUUUGUUUUUUAAAUUGGGUUUUAUGCAAUAUCAUAUCACUAUGUAGUCCUUUCUGGCCUCAAGUUGUGGUCUUCUUGCCUCAGCCUCCUGAGCGCUAGAAUUUAUAGGCAUGCACCCCCAAGCCUUGCUAUGGCAGGGUUUAUGGAUGGGUAUGGAAACAAAGGAAACAGUUAAAGACUGAGGCUUAUUGGAGGGCUGUGCAUCAUUAGAAUGAGGGGAGGGGGACCAGGGGCUAGAGAGAUGGCUCAGAAGCUCUUCCAGAGGCCCUGAGUUCAAUUCCCAGCAACCACAUGGUGGCUCACAACCAUCUAUAAUAGGGUCCAGUGCCCGAUUCUGUUGUGUCUGAAGUCAGAGCACUUCUGUACAUUAAAAACAAACAACAAAAAAAAACUCAACCAAAAACAAAACCCCAGAACAGUGGGUCUGUAGCAGAGGCAGGUGGAUCUCUGAGUUUGAAGUCAUCCUGGUCCACAAAAAAGAGUUCUAGGACAACCAGACUACACAAAGAAACUGUGUCAAAAUAAAUAAAACAAUAACAAUUAAAAUACCCAGAACAGGUCAUCUUAACAUUGGAAAGGAAUUAACUUCUGGUUAUUUUUCUGGUUAUGUAUAUAGUAAAAAGGAUAGACUUGAUUUUUUAAAAAACUAAUUGAUUACAUUCUAAAGUUUGUUUUUCUUCUCUGUGCUGUUGCUAAGUGAAGAAAUCCAAGGCACUAAGGCACUAUGAAGGAGAGAGUUCAGUAUUAGACAUGAAAGUGGAGCAAAUGUCAGGAGAAAGGAGGGAACUCAUUGCUUGGACAUUACAAAGAGGGUGCAUUGGGCUGAGUAAGACAAAGGCUUUAGAUGUGAACCGAAGGCAUCACCAUUUGACUUGCAAUAUUCUAUCUAGCAAGAGCAGAAAAACUAGGGCUGAAUCUAACCCCCUGGCUUAGUUUCCAGAAGGAAAACUGUUGUGGUGCCAAGACAUCCUGACAAAAGUGACUUAAGGGAGAAAGGGUUUAUUCUAGCUUAUAGUCUGCAGGAACUUGAAACAUCAGGGAUGCUUUGUCUGCAGCCAGAGAGUAAUGAAUGCCCGAGUUCAGUUUAUUCUCCCCAUUUUAUAUAGAUCAAGGACUAGUCCAACCUCCAGUUAAAAUGGGUCUUUACACACCAAUCCACAUAACCAAGAGGAUCCCUUACGGGCAUGCUCAGGGGCCCAUCUUCCAGGAAAGUCUAAAUCCUGGGAUGUUGACCGUACUCAUCAUACUUUGCUACCUUAAGAAAGCAGCAAACAGGGCUGGUGAGAUGGGUGGCUCAGGGAGUAAAGGUAUCUGAUGACCUAAGUUCAGUUCCUGGGACUCACAUGUUCAAAGUGGAGAACUGACUUCUGCAAAUUGUCCUCUGACACCCACGUCGCUGCCUCUCCCUGUAAAGAAGUAGGAAAGAGGAAAGAAAAGAAACCAGAAAACUAGCUGGGCAUAGUGGCCUUGUCCUGUAAUGCCAACACUUGGAAGGGUGAGAGCGGAAGAACCUCUCAAACUGGAGGCUAGUCUGCUACAGUGAGACUAUCUCAAAGAACAAGCCAGGUGUUAUGGUGAGCAACUGUGAGGGUAGUGAGUUCCCUACUUGGGCCAGAGCCACCAAGCCCAGACAACUGGCUCAGUGUAUAUAUAGUGUACUGCCUAGGCAAUGCAAUCCUUAGUCCUGUCCUCAACACU